GACGGAGGAUGCAAGUGUUAUCCGGAAUCACUGGGCGUAAAGGGCGCGUAGGUGGCGACCCAAGUCGAUGGUGAAAGCUCGCCGCUCAACGGCGAGUCGGCCACCGAUACUGGGUUGCUGGAGCACUGUAGAGGCUCAUGGAAUUCCGGGUGUAGCGGUGGAAUGCGUAGAGAUCCGGAAGAACACCGGUGGCGAAGGCGGCUCACUGGACUGGUAUUGACGCUGAGGUACGAAAGCGUGGGGAGCAAACAGG
RNAcentral lists this ribosomal RNA (253 nucleotides) under uncultured bacterium. RNAcentral's name for it is "partial 16S ribosomal RNA". It matches the Rfam family "Bacterial small subunit ribosomal RNA", at positions 524 to 776 of the family's 1533-position model. The record is from RNAcentral.